Molecule: unclassified non-coding RNA, 336 nt
Filed under: Hevea brasiliensis (rubber tree)
Lineage: Eukaryota; Viridiplantae; Streptophyta; Magnoliopsida; Malpighiales; Euphorbiaceae
Source: RNAcentral
AAGGGGGCCUGGAGGGAGGUUGAGAUUGAGGGAAGGGUUCUUGGAAGGAAAGAAAAUGCUGAUGAGAGCUUUGAUGAAGGCAGAAAUAGAGAUGGAGAUGAGGAUGAUGAACCAAGUCUCCAUGAAAUGAGAACAAGAGGAUGAGCAAUUGAGAAUGGACCUGGCCUAGUUUCUGCAGGGGUGGAGAAAGGACAAACAGACUACAAAAUAUCCAAGCCACAUGAGAGAGCUUUGCUUGGUAUCUUGAGAGUUUUUUUUUUCUCUGCAAAAGGGUAUAUCGACUUCUACGACCUGGUCUGGUUAUUGAUGAAGUGUUAUGAGAAUACAGAGUAUCGU